RNAcentral lists this unclassified non-coding RNA (405 nucleotides) under soil metagenome. RNAcentral's name for it is "partial contains 5.8S ribosomal RNA, internal transcribed spacer 2, and large subunit ribosomal RNA". The stretch from base 1 to 121 matches the Rfam family "5.8S ribosomal RNA", at positions 35 to 154 of the family's 154-position model. The record is from RNAcentral.
GAUGAAGAACGCAGCGAAAUGCGAUAAGUAAUGUGAAUUGCAGAAUUCAGUGAAUCAUCGAAUCUUUGAACGCACCUUGCGCCCUUUGGACAUUCCGAAGGGCAUGCCUGUUUGAGUAUCAUGAACACCUCAACUCUCACGGCUUGUCCGUGAUGAGCUUGGACUUUGGGGGUCUUGCCGGCCUGUGGUCGGCUCCUCUCAAAUGGAUCAGCUUGCCAGAGUUUGGUGGCAUCACAGGUGUGAUAACUAUCUGCGCUUGUGGUUUUCCAUCAGAUAACCUUCAGUGAUAUGGAGGUUCGCUGGAGCUCACAAAUGUCUCUCCUUAGUGAGGACAGCUCUUUGAACGUUUGAUCUCAAAUCAGGUAGGACUACCCGCUGAACUUAAGCAUAUCAAUAAGCGGAGGA